RNAcentral lists this ribosomal RNA (465 nucleotides) under Vreelandella stevensii. RNAcentral describes it as "partial 16S ribosomal RNA". It matches the Rfam family "Bacterial small subunit ribosomal RNA", at positions 338 to 795 of the family's 1533-position model. Lineage: Bacteria; Pseudomonadati; Pseudomonadota; Gammaproteobacteria; Oceanospirillales; Halomonadaceae. The record is from RNAcentral.
CCUACGGGAGGCAGCAGUGGGGAAUAUUGGACAAUGGGGGGAACCCUGAUCCAGCCAUGCCGCGUGUGUGAAGAAGGCCCUCGGGUUGUAAAGCACUUUCAGUGAGGAAGAACGCCUGGUGGUUAAUACCCAUCAGGAAAGACAUCACUCACAGAAGAAGCACCGGCUAACUCCGUGCCAGCAGCCGCGGUAAUACGGAGGGUGCGAGCGUUAAUCGGAAUUACUGGGCGUAAAGCGCGCGUAGGUGGCUUGAUAAGCCGGUUGUGAAAGCCCCGGGCUCAACCUGGGAACGGCAUCCGGAACUGUCAAGCUAGAGUGCAGGAGAGGAAGGUAGAAUUCCCGGUGUAGCGGUGAAAUGCGUAGAGAUCGGGAGGAAUACCAGUGGCGAAGGCGGCCUUCUGGACUGACACUGACACUGAGGUUCGAAAGCGUGGGUAGCAAACAGGAUUAGAUACCCUGGUAGUC